RNAcentral lists this small RNA (82 nucleotides) under Caenorhabditis elegans. RNAcentral's name for it is "Unclassified non-coding RNA F53G12.19". Lineage: Eukaryota; Metazoa; Nematoda; Chromadorea; Rhabditida; Rhabditidae. The record is from RNAcentral.
GUUGUUGAUUUGAUCUUCUCUGUUUCCGAAGUCUCCUCCUUCAACGAAGUGGUUGGUCUUCUUGGUCCAUCCUCCAGUUGGG